Molecule: ribosomal RNA, 297 nt
Filed under: Triticum aestivum (bread wheat)
Lineage: Eukaryota; Viridiplantae; Streptophyta; Magnoliopsida; Poales; Poaceae
Description: partial small subunit ribosomal RNA
Source: RNAcentral
AUGAGCAAGCCAUCGAGGUGCAGGGCAGUGCAGACGCAGGUCGCCCUGCUCCUCCUCUUGCUCGUCGCUGCCUCCCUGCUCCAGGCCGGCGACGCUGCUUCAGGGUUCUGCGCGGGCAAGUGCGCGGUCCGGUGCGGGCGGUCGCGCGCAAAGCGGGGGGCGUGCAUGAAGUACUGCGGGCUGUGUUGCGAGGAGUGCGCCUGCGUGCCGACGGGGAGGAGCGGCAGCCGCGACGAGUGCCCCUGCUACCGCGACAUGCUCACCGCCGGGCCCAGGAAGAGGCCCAAGUGCCCGUGA